Molecule: ribosomal RNA, 253 nt
Filed under: uncultured bacterium
Lineage: Bacteria
Description: partial 16S ribosomal RNA
Rfam family: Bacterial small subunit ribosomal RNA
Source: RNAcentral
UACGUAGGGGGCAAGCGUUGUCCGGAUUUAUUGGGCGUAAAGAGCGUGUAGGCGGCUUUACAGGUCCGUUGUGAAAACUCGAGGCUCAACCUCGAGACGCCGGUGGAAACCGUAAGGCUAGAGUCCGGAAGAGGAGAGUGGAAUUCCUGGUGUAGCGGUGAAAUGCGCAGAUAUCAGGAAGAACACCCGUGGCGAAGGCGGCUCUCUGGGACGGUACUGACGCUGAGACGCGAAAGCGUGGGGAGCAAACAGG